UGCCAGACUCCUACGGGAGGCAGCAGUGAGGAAUAUUGGGCAAUGGAGGCAACUCUGACCCAGCCAUGCCGCGUGAGUGAAGAAGGUUUUCGGAUUGUAAAGCUCUUUCGGAUGUGACGAUGAUGACGGUAGCAUCUAAAGAAGCCCCGGCUAACUUCGUGCCAGCAGCCGCGGUAAUACGGAGGGUGCGAGCGUUAAUCGGAAUUACUGGGCGUAAAGCGCUCGUAGGCGGUAUGUCAAGUCAAGGGUGAAAUCCCCGCGCUCAACGUGGGAACUGCCUUUGAAACUGGCAAACUGGAGUGUGUGAGAGGAUAGUGGAAUUCCAGGUGUAGGAGUGAAAUCCGUAGAUAUCUGGAGGAACAUCAGUGGCGAAGGCGACUAUCUGGCACAUAACUGACGCUGAGGAGCGAAAGCGUGGGUAGCAAACAGGAUUAGAUACCCUUGUAA
This 447-nucleotide ribosomal RNA is filed under the name uncultured bacterium. RNAcentral's name for it is "partial 16S ribosomal RNA". It matches the Rfam family "Bacterial small subunit ribosomal RNA", at positions 329 to 793 of the family's 1533-position model. The record is from RNAcentral.